Molecule: ribosomal RNA, 253 nt
Filed under: uncultured bacterium
Lineage: Bacteria
Description: partial 16S ribosomal RNA
Rfam family: Bacterial small subunit ribosomal RNA
Source: RNAcentral
UACAGAGGUCUCAAGCGUUGUUCGGAUUCAUUGGGCGUAAAGGGUGCGUAGGCGGCGCGGUAAGUCGGGUGUGAAAUCUCGGAGCUUAACUCCGAAACUGCAUUCGAUACUGCCGUGCUUGAGGACUGGAGAGGAGACUGGAAUUUACGGUGUAGCGGUGAAAUGCGUAGAUAUCGUAAGGAAGACCAGUGGCGAAGGCGGGUCUCUGGACAGUUCCUGACGCUAAGGCACGAAGGUCAGGGGAGCAAACGGG